CCAGUUUAACAACUCUGUUCACUGUUCCUAUUGCACAGUGGGCUCUUUGACGCAACAGAAAGAGCUGCUUUUUUUUCUUUUUUUUUUUUUUCCUUCUUUUUUUUUUUUUUUUUUUUUUGCUUCCUCUUAAAUCCGCCUGGCCAAUUUAAAGCUUGUGGAUAUUUCUUCCCCCUCGGGGACAGCUUAUGUGAGGAUUUUCUUUUUUAACAGUUCAUUCUGUUAAACCAUUUUUUUUUCUUGUUUGCUGUUAGAAAAUGUUGGAGCUGAACACAAGGCUUUCAUUGCAGGAGGCCAGCUUUUAUAGUGCAUCCAUAGGAAGCGUCUCCACUACAGCCUUUCACCACACAGGAGACAGACUGAGGAUGUAGGCAGCUGACAAAUGUGAAAGCAAUGAAGAGGUGUUCCGAGGUUGACAGCGCUUUUCAUAGUACACGCAUUUUCUGGGAAGGGCAUAAGAAGGGAGAUAAACAAGGGACGAUUUUGGCAAGCUGAGAAGAAGCUGUGGCAGAUAAAGAUGUUCCAAAGACAAGAUCACAUCAAAAAGGUAAGAGCACCAACUUCAGCCUGUCCUUU
RNAcentral lists this long non-coding RNA (573 nucleotides) under Manacus vitellinus (golden-collared manakin). RNAcentral describes it as "lncRNA (ENSMVIG00005015157.1)". The record is from RNAcentral. Lineage: Eukaryota; Metazoa; Chordata; Aves; Passeriformes; Pipridae.